Molecule: unclassified non-coding RNA, 1932 nt
Filed under: Anthonomus grandis grandis
Lineage: Eukaryota; Metazoa; Arthropoda; Insecta; Coleoptera; Curculionidae
Description: cytochrome P450 315a1, mitochondrial
Source: RNAcentral
AAACACGAAACUCGGGCCAUUUAUAUUCAUUUAAUCGCUUAGAUAAGCGGAAUUUGUAUACUUUGUUAUAACAGGGACGGAUGUUUGAAAAUAAGCUUUAACAGUUUUAUUGUUUUCGAAGUGUGUUGGUGUAUUAUUGUUGGACUGUCGGUGUGGUGAUUUUUUUUUCGCUAUAGAACAAUUUGGCUUUUCGCCAGAGAAAUUAGUAUUUAUAAUGAGAAACUGCAUCAAAUCCAACUAUUUGAAAAACAGAUCAUGGAGAAAAUGGUAUUCAGUAGAUCCUGCAACCCCCGCUAAAGAAUUCCAUGAAAUACCUGGUGCCAAAGGUUUGCCUUUUAUAGGCACCACUCUCUCCCUUAUCCUGGCCGGUUCAUCCCCUAAACUUCACGUCUAUAUCGACAAAAGACACAAACAAUAUGGUCCAAUAUUUAAAGAGAAAAUAGGGCCGGUCCCUUGUGUAUUUAUCUCCGAUCCCGAGGCGAUACGAUUAGUGUUUGCCCACGAAGGAAAAUAUCCGAUACACCUGCUUCCGGAAGCCUGGACGACAUACAACGAUUUGUACAACGUCUCUAGGGGGUUGUUUUUCAUGAACGGGACUGAAUGGCGCAGUUAUAGGAAAAUAUUGAAUCCACUUUUGUUAGGAGGAGACAAAGAGUGGAUGGAGGAUAGUUGUCGGCCCGCAAUCGAACGCUUAGUUUGGACGAUUAACGAACUAAAUGACAAAAAUAUUCAGCCUAAAAUGGAAAAACUCCUCUACAAAUGGUCUCUGGAAACAAUAGUUUCCGUCCUAAUAGGACCCGAAAACUAUCUUAAGGCAAAGGAUAACAUAGACAAAGAAAUUACCCAGCUCGCCUCGAAAGUGUUUCUUAUAUUUGAGACUAGUUCGCGGAUGGCCCUCGUAUCAUCUAAAUUCGCUUCCAAGUAUAACAUUUCCAGAUGGCGACAGUUUGAGGAAUCUGUUACUACAGCUGUAAACCUAUCAACUGAUUUAAUAGAGUUGUUGCUGGAGUAUGUAAAAACGGACCAAGAUGGACUAUUGGGAAAACUGAAAGACAAAAUGACUAUCAAUGACGUGGUGAGAAUAGUGACGGAUUUAGUGUUGGCCGCCGGAGAUACCACCGCUCAUUCAAUGGAGUGGGCGCUGUACCUGGUCGCUAAACAUCCAGAAUGUCAGAAGAGGCUUAGGGAGGAGCUGGAAAACUGUAAGAAAAAUAACCAAAAACUUACGUCUUGCCUCUACCUGAAAAACAUCAUAAAAGAAUCCUUAAGACUCUACCCAGUAGCCCCGUUUUUAACCAGAAUUCUGCCAAAUGAAACCACUAUAGCGGGCUACAAAAUUCCAUCCGGCACCAUUUUAAUUCUCUCCAUUUACACCACGGGAAGGGAUGAAAACAACUUCGAAACCCCAUUAAAAUUCUACCCGGACCGAUGGAUCAAAAGCGAAAUCAGAAGUGGGAUUGUCCAGUCGGCUGCGUUACCAUUCGCCAUCGGAUCCAGGUCGUGUAUAGGUAGAAAGUUGGCUGAAACGCAACUGCAACUAACUUUGGCCCAACUGAUUUUAAAGUUUGACGCGAUCGGGAUACGGAACGUACGGGAUGUCGAGGCGGUUUUGAAAAUGGUAAUGGUGCCAUCCGAAGAAAUCAAAUUUAAGUUUGAAGUGAAUAAUAAGUGAGUUUUCUUGGUGCGGGUUUUCGUUAUAAAUUGAAUGGAGUGUACUGUUGUUUAUGUAAGAAUUUUAUUGGGGAAUUGUUAGGAGUGUAUACAAGAAUGACCUAGGGACCGAUGCAAUACAUAAUACUCAGAGUGCUUCGGAUUAGGUUCACGACCUUAUGUUCACGACCCAAGCUGAUUGGAAAUCAUUAUAAUCAGAUAAACACAUUAUAAAGAAACGACAGAAUCACUACAAGACUUUAUUAAUACGGUUCACACCAA